AUCCAGCUGACGGGUCCCGAAUAAGACGAAAAGCCCAUCCUGGAU
This is a non-coding RNA of Schistosoma curassoni, 45 nucleotides long. Lineage: Eukaryota; Metazoa; Platyhelminthes; Trematoda; Strigeidida; Schistosomatidae. The record is from Rfam.